This 84-nucleotide transfer RNA is filed under the name Bacteriophage sp. Its description in RNAcentral is "tRNA-Leu". It matches the Rfam family "tRNA". Rfam says of the family: Transfer RNA (tRNA) molecules are approximately 80 nucleotides in length. The record is from RNAcentral.
GCCGCUGUGGUGGAAUAGGCAGACACAAGGGACUUAAAAUCCCUCGAUAGCGAUAUCGUACCGGUUCAAGUCCGGUUAGCGGCA